UACGUAGGGUGCGAGCGUUAAUCGGAAUUACUGGGCGUAAAGCGUGCGCAGGCGGUUCGCCAAGUCAGGUGUGAAAUCCCCGGGCUUAACCUGGGAAUUGCGCUUGAAACUAGCGGGCUUGAGUGCGGCAGAGGAAGGUGGAAUUCCACGUGUAGCGGUGAAAUGCGUAGAGAUGUGGAGGAACACCGAUGGCGAAGGCAGCCUUCUGGGCCAACACUGACGCUCAUGCACGAAAGCGUGGGGAGCAAACAGG
RNAcentral lists this ribosomal RNA (253 nucleotides) under uncultured bacterium. RNAcentral describes it as "partial 16S ribosomal RNA". It matches the Rfam family "Bacterial small subunit ribosomal RNA", at positions 524 to 776 of the family's 1533-position model. The record is from RNAcentral.